CCGCAUCUUCGCGGUGACAAGCCAGGGGACUUGUUUCAUCUGGUUGACAUCCUACGGUACGGGAGAUUACAAACGGAAUGCACAAACCAUCAUUUGCAUCCCUAAUGGUACUCCAUUAUUUUGCAGGGACCAGUCAUCCCCCGAUUAAAAUAAGAUCGCCGAUCUUGGAUGUGCAUUUGCAUCCGCGAUUCGGUCUAACACCUGGAACUUUGUAGAUGACUUUGGCAUAUUGGGAUCAACUAUCUUAGCAUUCGUUACCCAUGGUACCACUGAUGUGCAACAGUAAUCUACCACGAUCGGACCGUCACCAUCUACCCAGGUAUUCCAUUUUUUAACCCUCUCGCCUUCUCUUUCAUUGUUGUACUAGUAGUAUACUUUGUAGUACUAGUAGGAGUACUUUUUACCACAGAGGACGCGUAUAGCUAGCUAGGCCAUUGAAGACUUGAACCCACUAGCUGCCACCAUUUUUGUUUUUCCAUGUCUUACUAUCUCAUCCAUGUAGCCAAGAGUGGCUAUAUAUAAUAAGCCGGUUAUUUUACUUCCUCUAUACCAGAGUAGUACUAUUUGCUGCACAGUAUUACUGACCACCACAUUUGAGCACAACAUUAUUAUGCAUGGACCUUGACUAUGUACGUCACCAUGUCUCCAGAUCUGGGAUGCCGCGUGUACCAGAUGAACGGCGCCGAGUUCGACCCCCCUGAUGCUACAUGGGUGCCGACGAACACUCUUGGAGAGUACUCGCUCUUCAUCGGGGGCAUCUACCCCAUUGUGAAGCGGAUGCCACCUUCCGUGCAUGACACGGAAGGCCUGCCGUUCAUGAAGCAUGGUUGUGUCUUCAGUGCGCACAGCCGGAUGAACGACAUGCUGGGACACGCUAUCCCUGAUUUAUGCCCUUCAGCUUGGAUGAGUCUCCAUUGUGUGGAACCGGACUAGAAAGCUGCGACAAUGAUUCCCGUUGCCCACCGCUAUGGAUCAUGCCAUCCAUGAAGAACACCUGGGACUGGAACCUGGAGGAGGACAUGUAGCCCAUCUAUAACGUGUAUGUAGUCGUGCACAAAUUUAUCACAUGAGUUGGAGAUGAACUUGUGUGGCAUACUGUCAUUUGUCCUUUAGAAUUUAUUACUAGUAAAUGUGUUAUGUGUACGUGCAACUUGUGUGGUUGUUGCACGGGAUCCAACACGCUCUUUGAGAAAAAAGGUUGCACAACUUUGGAUAUACGUGACGUGGCGGCAUCAUACAGUAGCAUUGUUCUCUAUAGUUGUACUAGUACACUCCUACUAGGACGACAACUCCUAUAAAACCUUGCGCUUGGCUCUUUGCCUCUUCGGGAGGUUCAACAGUCCGUACUCGUGUGAACCUUGCACUUGGCUCUUCGCCUCUUCGGAAGGUCCAACAAUGAUGAUACUACAGUAUAAUAUGCUUCUGGCAAUCUGACACUGGUUGAACUGCUGCACGUCCACCGCGAGGGAGAGGUGAGGGCGAGGGAGCGGGAGAGGGUGCUGUAGUCAAAACCCUCUCCUCGUCUUGCGAACCACCGCGCGCGUGGGCGAGGGAGAGGCAUAGUAAGCAAACUUCUCCUUGUUCGGCGAGUUGACGGGACACAUCAAAGCAGCACUAGUACUAGUAGUAGUAGUCCAUACUGCGUCGUUUCCGAUUAAUAUGGCUUAAUUUGAAAUGAGAAAAAUACACCGGCGGUCAACGUAUGUAACAGUACGCUCUUUACGGUCACUAUAUAUAGUUUUGCGGCGAUUAUGCGAUCACUAGCUCAUCGUAGAGCACCGUAUUGCACCCUACUGACCGGCCACAUAGUCGACAUGGCACUUUGUUGACUGGUUAAAUUUUCACCUGGUUUCUGGGUCCCACCUGUCAGUUGGCAGAGCAAAGAAAUCAGUUAAACAAAACUUUUUGCAUGCGCGACAUGAGUCCAACCCUUGCGCGCGAACCACCCUGGCUGUGUAUGUGAGUGCAUGCACGUGUCUUCCCUCGGUCUUCCAACAAAGAGUGUACUACAUGAUGUACAUCUACAUUUCCAAUGUGUUUAGCCUUUAAUCUAAAUCGAUAUUGAUUGACUAAUGCACCAACUUGUGCUACAGGUAUAGGCUACAUGUCUAUCCUUAAUUACAGCAUGCAACGGCCUUCAUUUAAUCUUCUUAUCUCAAUGGUCGCAUGCACACAUAAGUCUGCUACUUUUGGGCGUUAAUUAUGCCAUAGUCAAUGUGUAAAUCUCUAAAUGUACAGUCUUUCACGGACGUAGGGAGUAGGUUGAGCACUUGAGCGUGAGCGUGUGUGUUGCGUCGUGUGUUGUGUGCCGCAUGGGUGCGUGAGUAUUGCGUGCGUCGAUGUGUAUGUGUGAGUGUUGCAUGUUGCAUGCAUGCAUGCAUGCAUGCAUGCAUGGGGCUUACACGCUCCCAUUGACAUGUCCAUUUGGCUAUAGAUUUUAACAAGUGACUAGGUACGGAGAAAAAUGAGCGAAGUGAGCGUAGAGGCAUAGGGAUACUGUAGAAAGGAAGUCCUCGCGAUCCAUUUAUUCCCCAUCUCGGUCAGAGAGAACUAUUCAACUAGUCUUCGCAGUGAAGUGACAAUACACACUGCAGUAGAUGGGACACGUAAUUAAUAAGCUGAACCAGCGUGUUGGUGUUACUAAAUCAGUCGGUUAUGUUUGGUAGUCUCAAGUCAUUGAAAGCAUGCACAACCCACAUAUCUUAUUGGUUGAUAUGCCAGAAAACAAAAAACGAGAAGGGAGUUAAUGUACGGUGCCUAAGUGUUUUGGGAUUAUUUGGUUUUCAAGGUGACUUACACACCUAGACGGAGGGAGUAGUAGAAUUGAGAUUGAAUGCACUUUCUUCCCCGUCUUCCACUCUUCUUCCUGCUCUCUUCUUCUUCCUCGUCUCUUCCCCAUCGUCGGCCGCACAUCAUUUACCCCUGCUCACUGCUCGCCUGCCCGCGCCAUCUUCCUUGGUAGCUCGCGCGUACCAUAUCCCCCCGCUCACUGCUCGGCCACACGAGGAGAAACUUCUUCGCUCGCCAGCGUUAGUUAUAUUUUGUCUUACAACAUCCGCAGGCAGUUUUUUUACUGAAUCAAACACACAGCCCAGUUCUAUUUUCAUCUUGAACCUACAUCCGUUUUCUAAUCUCUACCUAUAGAUUUACUAGUUCAUAUACACGUAUCAUUAUAUUGAAAACACGUAAAAUUCCCUUUUCAUAUUUACAUCCUUAUUCUUGUUGUUUUUUCCCACCCAGUGCUGAUUUUUUUACUACUGGUUUUCCCUUAAACCAACUAAAUCGUCCCAUGUUUUAUUUGCUUACAAAAACAAAACAAUUUUUUUGGCAAAUCAAUAAGUUCUUAAAAAAUGUUUAUCCUUUCAGGAUUACAACAGUUCGGACUCCACCGAAAUAUGCAAAAUAAGGUUGGACUUUUUGACCGUGGUCCUGGGCAGAAAAUGGGCUGUAAUAAAUUACUUAAGAAUUAGCAAAUGGGCUGCAAAUUAUAAAAAAUAGGAAAUGGGCUUUAUGUUGUCUGCCACAGAUUUGGAGGCUGAUUUGUGGGCCUACUAAGUUCAUGCGUACACAAGGUUUCUCAAAAAAGAAACUUAUUCAACAAUCAACUCUACCAGCGUUAGACCAUUAGAUGUCAAUCUAAUGGCAAUCGUGCUUCUUCAGUCUCUGAUCUUCCUGCCCCAGCCGCCUAAACCAGCGCCGUCAGAACCGCCUGCUCCCGCCUCCCGUGGCCGGUAGUGCUGCCGGGAAGGCCUCACGGCCCCAUCAUACUCGCAUCCCUGGCCUGUCUAUCCCUCUACUCACCCACACCUCCUGUUAUUUUCAGGCGACGGCAGCCGAACCAGUCAACCCUCGUACUCUCCACCGUGUGGGCAGCCACUGCCGUGUCUUCCCCGGCUCCGUGUCGUUCCCUUCGCAGGCCUCACCGUCGUCCACCGCCCAGGUGCUCUCGACGCGGCGUGGUCAACGAUGUCCAUCCAACGGCCGUAGUGCUUCUUCAACUGUCACAUCCCUACCUUUACCUUGACCUAGACUAGCUAGUCAUGUGUGCAUCAUGUUUAAAUUUCAUGAAUUUUAAUUGGGGACUGUUGAAACCCUAGCACAGAUGAAUCCAACUAGGUUCAAAUAAAAAAAUCAUUUUCAAUGAACCCAAAAUUCCUUUGGAAAAGUUCAUCAUUUUUGAAUUGAUCUAGAACCUCUGCCAAAAAUGGUGCACAUUUUCCUAGGUCACUUUGGAUUUUUGAAUGAAUUCAUAAAUUAUUUGAAUUUGGGCAUUUAAUUGCUAUAAAUAAUUAAAAUGCCCAAAUAAUUCUGAAAGUGGUUGAGGGCUAUUGGAAAUAUUUUCAAAAGUGCCCACAAUUAUUUUCAGGGUUUUUGAAAAUGCCUUAGCAUUUUACUUAAGUCAAAACAAUUACGGAAAAAUAGAAAGCAGAAACAAACAAAAUAGAAGAGAGAGAGAGAGAGAGUUUACCUGGCAGCCACUUACCUGGCCCAACUCCUCUAGCCGGCCAAGCCCACCUGGUGACUCGCUAGUCGUCCUCAACCUCUGCUAGUAGGCAGAGGCGAAGGCGGGCAUGGUGUGCGUUGAGGCCGCCACCUCCUCCCUGCCUGCCUCACGCCCCCGUGGCCUUCUCGCGACGCCCAGGAGACGUGGACGAAGCCCCGCACCAAUCCCCUCCUCUGGUUCCCUCUCCCUCGCUGUUCCCCACCUCACCAAACCGCGCCGCCGCCACUGACGAGCUCCACCACGGCCACAACCACUCCCUCGCUCCCUCUUCGCUUCCCCAAGCUCCGCCACGACCCCGUGGGGCAACACACCCGACGCACGCGACCAGAAGAGGCCCCAGUUGACCAGAGCAUCGUCGUCUUCACCUCCGGUGCCUGGAGAUCGACUCCGUCAAUUCGCCUCGUCCAGAGCGUCCCCGAGGCCGCUAACCUACCCUGCCGCAUCGCCGUGAGCUCCUCUACUUUUACCCCUACCUCCAAGCUCUAGCUCGUCCCAUAGCUGUUGCACACCGAGCUCCCGCGCCGCCGUCCGCCAUGGCCGACGGCCGCGUCGUCGCCGAGCUCCCCUAGUCGCUCUGUGCUGCCUAGAGUCCCUCGCUAGCCAGCUGCAACGCUGCGCCCGCUGGAGGCCGAACUUCGGCCGCCGCCUCCAUCGUCGCUGCCGUCUCUAUAGGCCACCCCAGCUCUUGACGAUUGCCCCAGAAGAUGCGCCACACCCCCAGCUCGCUGUAGCCGCAAACCACGCGCGAAACGGUGCUCUGUAGCACCGUUCCGAGCAACUCCGGCGUGCCACCGCCGUGCGUUUGGUCGCCGGCGUUUUGCUGACGUGGCGCUAGUUUAGUUCCCACUAAUGACCUGGCUAAACACCCUAGAGCCACUGCCAUGUGGGGCCACGUGCCUGUUUAGGUUAAUUUAAUUUCUAUUUAGAUUAGUUCAUAACCCAGUGGGACCCACUUGUCAGCAUUGACUUUGCUGACAUGGCUUUUGACCGAUCCCAGCUGUUUGUGACUCGAGCCAGCACUGUGAGACUGACGUGUGGGACCCACGGGUCAGGUUUGACCAUGGUCAGCCCCUGUUGACCUGAUGAUGUCACGCCGACAUCAUGCUGACGCAGUAAUGUUUUUCUAGAUUUUAAAUAAAUCUAAAUGAUUUAUUUAUAUUCAGAAAAUGUUUAAAACUUCUAAAAAUCAUAUAAAAUCAACCGUAGCUCAGAAUUAAAUAAAUUAUAUAUGAAAUAUUAUCAGAAAAUCCAAUCUAUCCAUCUGUACCAUUUUCAUGCAUGUUAGAACAACUUAAGGCCACUGUUUAGGACAAAUCAAAUGAAUGACAUUUAAAUAACCACAUGUGGAGUUUGAAUUUGAACUUUGGGUUCAAACCAACUUCAUUUAAUUGUGUUGCUAGUUGCAUUAGCUCAAUCAACAACAUAUUGCCAUGACAUUAUCAUGCAUCAUGUUGUGCAUUGCAUUGAUUGUGUUCCUUCUCUGUUUCCGGUGGUUGUCCCCUCUCGAUAGACAUUGUACCGACGCUGUGAUCGUUGACACUGAUGAAGACCCAAUGAUAUCUUCAAAAGUGCCAGGCAAGCAAAAUCCACUUGUUCAUUUCGAUACAAUCCCACUCUCUUGCUCUUGCUCUUUUUACUGCAUUAGGACAACAAUGAUUCAACUGUUACAUGUUGCGGUAGUUGAACCCCUUUCCUCUGCAUGACCUAUCAUUGCCACAAUAAAAUAGAUGAAACCCACUAGCAUGAGUAGGAGUUGUUUGAGCCCUGAUGUGCCUACUUAUUCAUGCUUGUUGUCAUGCCUGCUACUGCUUAGAGUUGAGUCCGGUCUGAUUCAUUGGGAAUGAAUUGGAACAUGGUGAACAUGUCCUACCGUUGAGAGCUAAGUGUGUGAACACGAUUUGGUAAAGGUAGCGGUGAGAGGCCAUGUAGGAGUACAUGGUGUGUUGUCUCAUUGCAGCCGUUCUCAGGAACUGAGUUCUGUGUUUGUGAUCCAUGAACAGUUACUACCACACAUUGGGUUCUGGUAACUCGUCCCCUCUCGGCUUAUUAAUCAACUCGAUCUCUGUCCAGGAGUUGCAACUAGUUUCUGGUGUUUCUAGGUAGUGUUAGUAGUCUACCAAGUGGCACCCGGUACAUGUGGGCUUGCGACAGACUAGGCACAGUGGCACGGUGUACCAAGUUGCACCCGAAUUGUGGGCUUGGAAACCCUGCACACAUCGUUUGGGGCCGUGGGCGACACCCCAGCCAGAUCUCCUUGCGUAUGGAACCCGAAUAGGCGAUAAACCUGGACGAGAGACUUGGGUGGUUAGUCAGGUCAUGGCCGACACCCUCGCCCGGCUUCCGCUUGAAGGAUGCCGAGGUACAUGACGUGUACAGGGCGAUAAGUGGAGAGAGCGUGUGUGAAGAAGUAACCCCUGCAGUGUUAUCACUAACUAUUCGAAUAGCCGAAUUCCUCGGAUAUGGAAACUUGGACCCCUUGCAUAGUUCAUAGACAAGUGAAAGUGGAUACUCUAAAAUGCGCAAGAUAAGCGUGAGUGCUAUGGAUGGCGUUCUCGUGGGAAGACGGGAGCGGAUCCAUAGUGGUGUAUUGAUAUGGUGAAUAUGUGGACUCGUGUGCGCCACCUCAAAAAAGUUGCUUGCAGUCGUAGUUCAGGUUAGCCACUGAGUCAAAGCUGGCUUGCUGCAGUUGAAAUCCACCAUCCCUUCGUUGAUAAUGAUGCAUAUGUAGUUAGUUCUGAUGUAAGUCUUGCUGAGUACAUUUGUACUCACGUUUGCUUAAUUUAUGUUUUUGCAGAGAGAUUUCAGUCUCGCUAGUAGUUCCGCGUGGACUUCGACGUUUAGCUUGUUACCUCAGCUACGAUCUUGUACCUUGGGAGGGUCUUGUAGAUAGUCAGGCUUCUCAGCCUUCUUCAGUUGUAGUUGUCUAUACUCAGACAAGUUAAGCUUCCGCAUGUGCUUGUUGCUUGUAUGCUCUGUAUGUUGGGUCAUGAGACCCAUGUUUGUAAUAUCUCGCUCCUCAGAGCCUAAUGAAUAAAUACUUUGAGUCAUAGAGUUAUGUUGUGAUGCCAUGUUGUAUUUACACAUAUUGUGUUUAUGAUUGAAAUGCUUGGUAUGUGUGGGAUUCGACAACCUAGUUGUUUAUCCUUGGUAGCCUCUCUUAUGGGGAAAUGUAGUCUUGUGCUUCCAUGAGCCAUAGUAGUCCUCUAUAGCCCGGUUCACCGGAGUCCUGCUAGCCCAGCACUACUGCUCCGGAACACUUGACUGGCCGACAUGUGAUUCACUUCAUUCCCGUGUCUAUCCUUUCGAGGAAAUGUCACGCAGUGACAUCCGGAGUCCUGCCUAGGCUGCUACAGCCCGGGUUCCUGGAGGCCUGUUAGCCCAGUGCUACAGGCCGGAUUCACACGCUGCUGACCGACAUGCUCGAUGUUGAUUCAUGUAUGCCUGUCCCCGUAAGUUAGUGCCACUUUGGGUUCACGACUAGUCAUGUUGGCUCGGGUUCUCUGUCAUAUUGAUGCUAGCGACACUAUCAUAUACGUGAGACAAAAGGCGCAAAUGGGCCCGGGCCAUGGUAAGGCGACACCCGUGGGAAUACCGUGCGUGAGGCCGCAAAGUGAUAUGAGGUGUUACAGGCUAGAUCGGUGUGACUUAGAAUCAGGUUCCUGACAUCAAACUCUGGUCUUCUUGCCCCAGUCGCCCAAAGCAGCGCCGGUCGUGCCGCAUGCUCCUGACUCCCGUGGCCGGCUGUGCUGUCGUGGAGGCGUCACCGUCCCCAUACUACUCCCACUGCUGGCCAGGCCAUCCCUUCACUCACCCACUCCCCCUGUUAUUCUACGGUGACGACACCCUCACACCGCAGCCGAACCAGUGAACCCUCGUACUCCUCUCCGCGUGGGCAUCCACUGCCGCGUCUUCCCCGGCUCCGCGUCGUCCCCUUCCUAGGCCUCGCCGUCGUCCAUCGCCGUGGUGCUCUCAGCGCGGCGUGGUCAAUGUGGUCAACGACCGACUUCCAUCAGAAGAGUACUGUAUGUGUAGAGGCUGACAGCUGGGUCCACGGCAGCCGCAAGGAAGUGCCUGCUUAUUACGCGCAAAAAUAAUUAUUCCUCCACCUGACAGCAGGGACCCACCGGACGGGCCACCGGUAUUUCGCGAAAAAAAUGUUUCCCCCUGACUGCUGGGACCCACCGGACGGGCCACCAUAUUUCGUGAAAAAAGGUUUGCCCCUGACUGCUGGGACCCACCGGACGGACCACAAUAUUUUGCGAAAAAACGUUCCCCUCCUGUCAGCUCGGACACACCGGAAGUGCCUCCUUAUUGCGCACAGAAAAAUGAAUACUCCCCUGCUAGCUGGGACCCAACCUGGUGUGAGGCUGACUUGUGGCCCUACUACGUUGACGAGGAUGGAGGGCUUUGUCAACUUAGUCAAUAUAAACGAUUCUAGCUCCAGUGACCGUACAAUGUCCAUCCAACGGCCGUAGUGCUUCUUCAACCUCUGGUCUUCUUGCUCCAGCCGCCCAAAGCUGCGGCGGUCGUGCCGCGUGUUCCUGCCUCUCAUGGUCGGCUGUGAUGCUGCGGAGGCCUCACCGCCCCCUACUACUCCCAUCGCUGGCCCAUGCUAUCCCUCUACUCACCCACACCCCCUGUUAUUCUGCGACGACGACAGCCUCACGUCACAGCCGAACCAAUGAACCCUCGUACUCCUCUCCGCGUGGGCAUCCAUUUCAGCGUCUUCCCCGGCUCCGCGUCGUCCCCUUCCUAGGCCUCGCCGUCAUCCACCGCCUUGGUGCUCUCGGCGCAGCGUGGUCAAUGUGGUCAACGACCUACUUCCAUCGGAGGAGUAUUGUACGUGGAGAGGCUGACAGCUGGGUCCACGGCCACAACCCACUUUUUAUGUGAUUUUCCAAGUAAGUCGCUUUGUCAUGCCUGUUGGGCCGCAAAUCUUUCAAGACGAGGAGAGCUUCAUUCGGCUGGCCGAGAAAAUGGCCCAUCAGUAAUGAGAAAUGGGCUGUACAUUUUUAAAACACAUCAAACCGACAAUUAGUUUAAAAUAUCUUUUUUUUCAUUUCGAGAUUUUAAAUUACAUUAAUUUUUGUGCGUGGAGAAUUUGUUGGAUUUUAUAUUGGUAUAAUUUUAUUUUUAAAAUCAGUUUGAAUGUGAGUCGAAAUUUUGGAAUUAAAAACAGUUCAGACCGCACCGAAAUAUGCAAAAUUUCGUUAAUUUUUUAACCGUGGCCACAAUAUGGGAUGUAAUGCUAACAAAAAGAAUAUGGGCUCCAAAAAACCUUAAGAAUUAGCAAAUGGGCCGUAAAUUAUUAGAAAUAAUGGCAGAUGGGAUGUAUGCUGUUUUCCACAGAUUUGAGGCUUUCCUAAAAAAAAGGUUGACGCACAAACACUGACUGUUGGAUGUCCAUCCAACGGCCGUCGUGCUUCUUCAAUCUCUGCUCUUCCUGCUCCAGCCGCUCAAACAAGCACCGGCGGGACUACCUGCUACCUCCUCCUCGUGGCCGGCUGUGCUGCCGCACAGGCCUCACCGCCCGACCGUACUCCCAUCGCCGGUUUGAUGUACUCCCCUCUGCAUGGGAAACAACUGCCGAGUCUUCCCUGCCUCUGUGUCGUCCCCUUCCUAGGCCUCGCCAUCGUCCACCGCCCUAGUGCUCUCGGCGCGGCCUGGUCAACAUGGUCAACGACCGAUAUGCAUCUGAAGUGGACUGUACAUGGAGAGGCCGACAGCUGGGUCCAUGGCUGCACGCAAGGAAAUGCCUCCUUAUUACGCGCAAAAUAAUGAUUCCUCCCUUGACAUUAGGGACCCACCAAAAGGGCAUCUGUAUUUCGCGAAAAAAUGUUACCGCCGCUGACAGCUCGGACCCACCAGCUAUAUCUUCGCACGCAAGGAAGUGCCUCCUUAUUACGCUCCAAAAAAUGAAUACCCCCCUGCUAGCCGGGACCCACCUUGGUGGGAGGCUGACUUGUGGGCCUAUUAAGUUGACGGGUAUGGAGGGCUUUGUCAACUUAGUCAAUAUGCACGAUUCUAGCUCCAGUGACCGUACGAUGUCCAUCCAAAGGCCGUAGUGCUUCUUCAACCUCUGGUCUUCUUACUCCAGCCGCCCAAACCAGCGCCGGUCGUGCCUCGUGGCUGGCUGCGAUGCGCCGAAGGCCUCACCGCCCCCUACUACUCCCACCGCUGGCCAGGCCAUCCCUCUACUCACCCAUACCCCCUGUUAUUCUGUGGCGACCAGUGAACCCUUGUACUCCUCUACGCGUCAUCCACUGCCGCGUCUUCCCUGGCUCCGCGUCGUCCCCUUCCCAGGCCUCACCGUUGUCCAUCGCCCUGGAGCUCUCGGUGCGGCGUGGUCAACAUGGUCAAGGAACAGCUUCCAUCGGACGUGGACUGUACGUGGAGAGGCUGAUAGCUCGGUCCACGGCCGCAGCAAGGAAGUGCCUCCUUAUUACGUGCAAAAUAAUUAUUCCUCCGCCUAACAACGGGACCCACUGGACGGGCCAUAGUAUUUCGCGAAAAAACGUUUCCCCUUGACUGCUGGGACCCACCAGCUACAUCUUCGCAGGCAAGGAAGUGCCUGACAGUCGGGACCCACCUGGUUGAAGCGUACGUAGCAUUGUCAUUCUGGUCGCGAACGUGUAUGUACAUACUGGUCGAUGUAGAGGCGCGCAUGUGUCGUAGUAGAGGCACGCACGUAGCAUUUACACGUACGUACAGCGGCUAGGGUGCAAGAAAGAAAAUACGGCCAUGUAUGUGUACAUACGGGCGGGGUCUCGAACGCCUACUCGCGCAUACGUACGGCUAGGGCUUGUGUACAUGGCUGGGUCGGAACGGAGAAACAACGUCAUCGUCGUGUUCAUGGGGAGGCAACGGAAUGCGUCGUGUUCAUCUGGAGGCAACGGAAUGCGUCGUGUUCAUCGAGAGGGCUUGGACGGAACAGGCGAUGGAAACGAGGCCCAGCGUACCGCAGAACGGAGGAAACGGCCUUGUGUUCGACCAGCCACGUUCGAAACAGGAUCUUGUUGAUCGGGAGGGGUCUGGCAUACCGCAAAACGGAGGAAACGGACCUCCUAUGGUCGAAACGAGGGUCUUGUUGAUCGGGAGGGGUGUGGCAUACCACAAAACGGAGGAAACGGACUUGCGUUGGAGCGCUACGGUCGAAACGGGGGUCCUGUUUAUCAGGAGGGGUGUGGCGUACCGCAAAACGGGACUCCACAGGAUACUGUUCAUCUCCACCGUCGACCCCCUCCAGCCUCCACGAGCUACUGUUCAUCCACCGUCGACCUCCUCCAGCCUCCACCUGCGACUGUUCAUCCACGAGCUCCUGUUCAUCCAGCCUCCACCACGCGCUACUCCACCGGCUACUGUUCAACCAGCCCUCUCCACGGGCUCCUGUUCAACCACCCCUCCACGGGCUACUGUCCAUCCUGCCCACCACCAUCUACUGUUCAUCCUGCCCUCCAUGGGGUGGUCCUGUUCAUCCAGCCCUCCACGGGGUCCUGUUCAUCUAGCCCCAACCGGCUCGAUCGAUCGGCGUCCUGUUCAUCCGGAGGCAACACCACGGGGUCCUGUUCAUCCACCCCCCCCGGGAACUGUUCAUCCAACCCCCACCCCCCGCCCCCCGCGCAACGCUCACUGUUCAUCCCGAGGAAGCAUCGAUCGGCUUCAGUUAGCAGCAGUAGCGAAGGAAUCGCUCGAUCGGUUUCAGUUAACAGCCAUCGAUCGAUCGCUCAGGUUCAGUAACGAGUAUCCUGCAGUGCAAUUGCUCAGGUUCAGUUAGAGCCCAACGCCUCGCUCAGGUUCAGUUAGAGCCAACGCCUCGCACACACGCGCGUACGUGUACGAGAGAAACGCGCAUCGCUCGGCCCUCGACCUCCCACCGUAACCGGGAACUCCCCGAAAUUUUCCUCCCCCUCGCUUCUACCAUGGUUUUUUCUGUCAUGGACGGCCCAAAGAAUGUCAUGCAGCUGCGUCUACGGCCCGCCCAGGACGAAAAGCCCAUUUUCUGUCAUGAUUUUUUGUCAUAGAAGUAGGAGCCCACUACAUCUAUGAUGAUACCAGGUUUUGUCACAAUUAUCGUCAUAGAAGUGUCAUAUGUAUGUUAGAAAAAAAUUUCGUUCGGCCCAAAAUGUCACGGAUGUGUCUUUUUUUGUAGUGACCAUUGGUUCACUGCUUGUUUGUCUCCUAUGCAGAGCGUGAGAAGGAUGUGAUAACUGUGCCUUAUGGGUUGUAGUUUGCAGUACUACUACCUGGUACUAAUUUUUUUUCAUUUUCGCUGCGAGGCUACCGCCCAGGUUCGCCCCUGUGAAGCUCUGCCGUUGCAUGCUAGUACUUUGGAUCCUAUGUCAACUAGAUUGUUGAUUGUUUGUGUGGGCAAUGCAACCAAAGUUUUUGAUAGGUAUUCUAUAUCCUAUCUUUUCAGGGAAAUUGCGAUGGUUACUGGAACAAUCUUCCUUCUAAUGAUCCCAUUUUGUUAACUUAAAACAUAUUUGUUAACUUAAAACAUAUUUCCUGACUAAAUGUUUUUGUGAUUUAAAGGUACCGAGUUGGUGUUUCUAGCUUGGAGAAGCAACAUCAACUUGGGAUACAGAUUCACCAGCAUAUGUACAUGCAUCUCAUCGGGGGAGAGCUCUUGCAUGGAUGUAAGACCAUUUUCCUUCAGCGAGUUAUAGAUUUUAGAGUGAUGAUUUGCUUAAAUUCGUUUCCAUUCAUAAAAUCAACAUCCAAUGAAAUAUGAGCAAAUUAUUUUACCUCUAUUAUUGUAAUUGGGAGCUAUGACAACCACAUCAAUAGAGUUAGUGUAUUUUGAUUGAUUAGUUUCUUCUGCUAUUUUCUGCGGCUCAAAUUCAGCUGAAGCUUUACAUAACUAGGGGAACACUAAUCCAUAGAGCAAUCCUUUCCUUUGCUUCGUUUUUCCUGUAGAAUAGAGUAAGCAUGAUCUGAGUAGUGUGUACACAACACAUCGCUUAACUGGCCAUGUACGUAAUAAAUCUAUUUGAGACACGGCUAACAAGUUGAUUUACAUGAGCAUGCACAUGUAUGUUUUCACAACCGGGACCUUGUCUUGCAGAUCCUUGAAAAGAGCCAAGAACCACUAAAUUUGUGUGCUUGGCAACAUGCAGAUCAUGUAACUUUUCUGAAAUUAACUUCAGAUUAUACAAACUUUGUAUGUUCCUGCAAUUCUGAUGUUCAAAUGCCUGCUUUUGCGAUGAGAAAAUCUUUAUGUGUGCUGGUAUGUAUGGUUCUGCUGCUUCGGUGCGAAGCAUGAUCAUAUUAUUGCCAGGGCUAUGUGUGCUGUGGGGAGGGAUUGCAUUCUCUUGUCCUGUCCAUAUUGUGCACAUUAUAAUUAUGCUUCCAAAAUUCUACCAGAAUACCCACCUUAUAACUACGUGCUAAACUGCUUGUCAUCAUAAUUUCAGGACCAUAAUGUCACUCUGGAUGCUUCUCCACAAGAUUUGAUUCUGGAGGCUGACACUGGUGUUGCAGGGAUGUUUUGAUUUUUAUUGAUAAUGCAUCUGGAACUACCUCAACUUGUCACUCGUUGGAAGUGAACCUCUUGAUAGUUAAUGAUGUCGGGUGCAUGUAUAGAUAGCAUGUUGUAACAAGUUUAUUUGAUACUCGCCGUGACCAACAAUGCUUGUACAUGUUGGUCAUGGUGUUCUAGUUGCAACGACUAACUUGUCAUAGCUUAUUUUUUGAAUUUGGCCUUUAGUUUACUACAUAUCUGAUGUAUGUGUUCAUUGAUUAUGAAUCUGAUGUGGUGUAUGAUGAAUUUUGGAUGUGAUUUACAAAUUUGAAAUUUUGUUCUGAUUUAAUUAUUCGAAUUAUGGUUGAUAUGAAUUUAUAUUCAAAU
This 14351-nucleotide long non-coding RNA is filed under the name Triticum aestivum (bread wheat). Its description in RNAcentral is "long non-coding RNA (TAES_LNC025567)". The record is from RNAcentral. Lineage: Eukaryota; Viridiplantae; Streptophyta; Magnoliopsida; Poales; Poaceae.